Molecule: long non-coding RNA, 982 nt
Organism: Camponotus floridanus (Florida carpenter ant)
Lineage: Eukaryota; Metazoa; Arthropoda; Insecta; Hymenoptera; Formicidae
Exons: 4
Source: RefSeq, a predicted model, not a curated record
CGGCGCAACGCAUGCAGCCGUUGACGACCAUCUUGAACUUGACCUCGGUCGCGUGCACACGCGUUUCGAGAGCGUUCUUCCUAAAGUUAAAAUGAGCGCAUUUUUUAGGCUUGUUAAUAGUGUUUUUCAUCGUAAUCGCGUAGUUUUCCGCGAGUGCUUGCUCGGACAUUGGUGAAUUCACCGUCCAUUAUUUUGAUAUCUCGGUACGAUUGUCUAAAAAAAGAUCACUUUUUCUUUUCUCCUUCCUAUUGCAUCACCCCGGAGGAAGGAUCACGCACAUCUUCGUUGGAUUUUCACAUUUGUCGUUACAUCUAAAGAGAGAGAGAGAGAGAGCAUUGCAUCUAAAGUCAUUACAUCUAAGAGAAGAGCUGUUAUAAUACUAUUUCCAGUUUGUCAUUACAUCUAGAGAGAGAGAGAGAGAGCAUUACAUCUAAGAGAGCAUUGCAUCUAAGUCAUUACAUCUAAGAGCUGUUAUAUAAUACCAUUUUUAUGAAAGGCAAAUUUACUAGAGCUACAUUGCGUUUUUUAAUGUCGAAUGAGCUGGCUGUGCAGUAUUCCUGGUCUGGUCAAAGAAGAACUAUUCAAUUUAAAAGUACCCUAAUUUCUCAACUUAUUGUCGAAACCGUUUCAAAAGUGAAAAAUGCAUCUAGAAGCGACAUAGAAAUAUUUAUAAAGAAGUGGCUGCAGCACGCUAGCGACCGAAUAAAAAAUAAGAAAUAAAUUUUCAUAAUUCCAUAAUAUAUACAUAUCUACUUUAGGCCUGAUUGAACCAACGUUAUUUUUAAGCGUUAUUUUAAGCUUUAAACGAGACUUUAAUGUAUUUUUAUUUAGAAAGAAAGAGGAAGAUUGAUACAUUAUAUAUAUUUAAUAUUAUAUAUUUAAGUCUCUUGUACGUAUGUAUGUGAACGUAUGAGAUACGAAUAUAUUUGGUGUAUAAUUUACGUCACCGCGCGAAAGCGAUUAAUAUAAUAUAUACAGACGA